RNAcentral lists this ribosomal RNA (497 nucleotides) under uncultured bacterium. RNAcentral describes it as "partial 16S ribosomal RNA". It matches the Rfam family "Bacterial small subunit ribosomal RNA", at positions 28 to 507 of the family's 1533-position model. The record is from RNAcentral.
GAUGAACGCUGGCGGCGUGCCUAAUACAUGCAAGUCGAGCGAACGGACGAGAAGCUUGCUUCUCUGAUGUUAGCGGCGGACGGGUGAGUAACACGUGGAUAACCUACCUAUAAGACUGGGAUAACUUCGGGAAACCGUAGCUAAUACCGGAUAAUAUUUUGAACCGCAUGGUUCAAAAGUGAAAGACGGUCUUGCUGUCACUUAUAGAUGGAUCCGCGCUGCAUUAGCUAGUUAGUAAGGUAACGGCUUACCAAGGCAACGAUGCAUAGCCGACCUGAGAGGGUGAUCGGCCACACUGGAACUGAGACACGGUCCAGACGCCUACGGGAGGCAGCAGUAGGGAAUCUUCCGCAAUGGGCGAAAGCCUGACGGAGCAACGCCGCGUGAGUGAUGAAGGUCUUCGGAUCGUAAAACUCUGUUAUUAGGGAAGAACAUAUGUGUAAGUAACUGUGCACAUCUUGACGGUACCUAAUCAGAAAGCCACGGCUAACUACGUG